CUUGGUCAUUUAGAGGAAGUAAAAGUCGUAACAAGGUCUCCGUUGGUGAACCAGCGGAGGGAUCAUUACCGAGUUAUCAACUCCCAAACCCCUGUGAACAUACCUAUAACGUUGCCUCGGCGGGACCGCCCCGGCGCCCCUAGCGGCCCGGAACCAGGCGCCCGCCGGAGGACCCAAACUCUUGCUUUGAACAGUGGCAUACUCUCUGAGUCUCACAAACAAAAAUAAAUCAAAACUUUCAACAACGGAUCUCUUGGCUCUGGCAUCGAUGAAGAACGCAGCGAAAUGCGAUAAGUAAUGUGAAUUGCAGAAUUCAGUGAAUCAUCGAAUCUUUGAACGCACAUUGCGCCCGCCAGCAUUCUGGCGGGCAUGCCUGUCCGAGCGUCAUUUCAACCCUCAGGGAACCCCUUCUGGGGGGGACCUGGUGUUGGGGUCCGGCCGCCCGCGCCGCCCCCGAAAUGCAGUGGCGACCUCGCCGCAGCCUCCCCUGCGUAGUAGCACAACCUCGCACCGGAGCGCGGAGACGGUCACGCCGUAAAACGCCCAACUUUCACGAGUUGACCUCGGAUCAGGUAGGAAUACCCGCUGAACUUAAGCAUAUCAAUAAGCGGAGGA
Molecule: ribosomal RNA, 615 nt
Filed under: uncultured fungus
Lineage: Eukaryota; Fungi
Description: eukaryotic LSU rRNA
Rfam family: 5.8S ribosomal RNA (bases 234-387)
Source: RNAcentral